Molecule: non-coding RNA, 396 nt
Organism: Trachemys scripta elegans
Lineage: Eukaryota; Metazoa; Chordata; Testudines; Emydidae
Source: the annotation of a RefSeq genome assembly
AUGGCCUGGGCCUUUCUCAUCCUCUCGUUGCUCAAUUACUGCUCAGGUUCUCUUGCCCAGUACGUGCUGACUCAGCCACCUGCAGUUUCUGUGUCUCUAGGACAAAAUGCUCAACUCACCUGCACAGGAGAAAAAGUUGACAAACAGUAUGUGCACUGGGUCCAGCAGAAACCUGGCCACGCCCCCGUACUCAUUAUAUACAAAGAUAGUGAGAGACCAUCCGGAAUCCCUGAGCGAUUCUCUGGGGCCAUCUCCGGUAAAACAGCCACAUUAACCAUCACUGGAGUCCAGGCACAGGACGAGCCUGAUUAUUACUGUCAGCACUGGCACAAAGACAGUAACACUACUCACAGUGACACAGCCAGAUGGGGAAGUGAGACAAAAACUGCCCGUUGA